Long non-coding RNA from Drosophila yakuba, 1565 nucleotides. RefSeq lists it as uncharacterized. Lineage: Eukaryota; Metazoa; Arthropoda; Insecta; Diptera; Drosophilidae. The transcript is spliced from 5 exons. The record is from RefSeq and is a predicted model, not a curated record.
UCGGCGGGAAUAAAAGAAAGGGUUGGAAAGGAAUAAGCAAGACCAUUCAGAACACGGAAAAGGCGGAAAAGGUGGCGGCUUCGGCAUCCGAGUUUUGCAUACCCUUGCCGAGCAUCUCAGUUCAAAGUUCAAUAGUAGAUGGUAUUAUAUCUUUCUACAAUCGUUAUAAAAAACCAUAUACCAACAUUGAGUUCAAUAGUCUUUCAAAACAGGCGAUCAAGGCAUUCGAUACUGUUACUGAUAUCAUAUAUGGUGGUUUAAGUCGACCAUUCUUUAAAGACAAUGCAGCUGUAAACUUAUUUCGAUAAUAGACCUGUUUAUCACCAACCUAUCAGCAUAAUAUGUACAGCUGUUUUUUAAAAUUUGUAUUUUUAAAUCUUGUGAUAACAAAAAACGUAAUAAAUGAUGCAACUUAUAAUGGAGUUAAACAUUUCCUGUUGUUAAUAGUUAGCAAAUUUAUUGGAAAGAGUUUAGUUCUUGGGGGACUACAUUUAGUUCUUUUGGCAAGAAAAAGCAGCUGAUUUUUUUUCCAAGGUGAAAGCGACACAGACACACGUGUGUCGGUGCUUGUGCGCGUGCCUCUUUCUUGUUUUCGAAUUUUUGUAUUGAUAUCUAUAUAAUCUUUGGGAAUUACUGCUCAAAUCUACACAGAUGCAUGCACACAAGGAACAAACACUGGACACUGGUCCCCUACAGAUUGUGAUACAGGAAAGUUUUACCUAUAAACGUAGGCUAUGCGAAAUAAAGCAGUGCAGCAUUUAAGCAUCUGAAAAUUCAAUACUCCCCCGAAUACGCUGCAAAAAAAAGGGAGAAAAAGGUCCCAGUUGGAGAAGUUGACUCGUCACUUGACAACGACAUUGGGCGACACCCUUCAAUGGCUUUGAUGACGGUCUUCACCCUUUUUAAGUUCCAAAUUAUCCAGAUUCCUGGGCUGUGUUGCAUCGUUCGCCUGAUUAAUUGUCGCGAUACACGAGUCUAUAUGUAUAGGAAUAUAUAUAUAUAUACGUAUAUCAUAUAUAUAGAUUUACACACUCGAAAUCGAGCAUUAGCAUUAAAUGUGAUGUCACUCGAUGGCUGUCAAACGUAUGCGAAAAUUGAAAGUCCCCCAUCGAUUCCCGCCGGUCUGUCAAGCCCUUUCGCCUGUCAUUUUGGGCCGGCAGCUCAUCGAACUGGAAAAUUAUUUGGUCAUUAUGUCAAUUUAGUGAAAGCGAUGUGGACGGACACCCCUGAAAACGCAAAACCGUCAACGGAACUCCAUGAAAAACAACAGUCGAAAACAAGGCAAAACACAGCAGAACUGUGUACUGGGUAGCAGAAGUGGGCACAAAUGAAUGCGACCACUAGUGCAUUAUAAAAUUAAUUAAAUUUACAGUUUCGAUGGCGCUUGACGUUGUUUUGGGGUUUCAUCGGCCAUUUUUAACACAAAGGACAACUCACAAAAUGAUCAGUGGCGAGUUUAGCAUUAUCAAUUGAACGCUGUUUAUAACUGAUUCAUAAUUGCACCCCGUUUAAUUAAAUAUGCAUUAUAUUCCUGUGAGAGCACCUAAGUAGUCUAUCUUAUCUCG